RNAcentral lists this ribosomal RNA (562 nucleotides) under Robillarda sp. RNAcentral's name for it is "eukaryotic LSU rRNA". It matches the Rfam family "Eukaryotic large subunit ribosomal RNA", at positions 62 to 648 of the family's 3401-position model. Lineage: Eukaryota; Fungi; Ascomycota; Sordariomycetes; Amphisphaeriales; Sporocadaceae. The record is from RNAcentral.
AAACCAACAGGGAUUGCCCUAGUAACGGCGAGUGAAGCGGCAACAGCUCAAAUUUGAAAUCUGGCCUUCUGGUCCGAGUUGUAAUUUGUAGAGGAUGAUUUUGGUGCGGUACCUUCCGAGUUCCUUGGAACAGGACGCCUUAGAGGGUGAGAGCCCCGUACGGUUGGAUGCCUAGCCUUUGUAAAUCUCCUUCGACGAGUCGAGUAGUUUGGGAAUGCUGCUCUAAAUGGGAGGUAAAUUUCUUCUAAAGCUAAAUAUUGGCCAGAGACCGAUAGCGCACAAGUAGAGUGAUCGAAAGAUGAAAAGCACUUUGAAAAGAGGGUUAAAUAGCACGUGAAAUUGUUGAAAGGGAAGGAUUUAUGACCAGACUUUUUCUAGAUGGAUCAUCCGGUGUUCUCACCGGUGCACUUUGUCUAGUUUAGGCCAGCAUCGAUUCUUAGCAGCGGAUAAAACCUUCAGGAAUGUGGCUCUUUCGGGAGUGUUAUAGCCUGUUGUAUAAUACGCCGCUGGGGAUCGAGGUACGCGCUUCUGCAAGGAUGCUGGCGUAAUGGUUAUCAAUCAC